UUGAAAUCUGGCGCCUUCGGUGUCCGAGUUGUAAUUUGAAGAUUGUAACCUUGGGGUUGGCUCUUGUCUAUGUUUCUUGGAACAGGACGUCACAGAGGGUGAGAAUCCCGUGCGAUGAGAUGCCCAAUUCUAUGUAAGGUGCUUUCGAAGAGUCGAGUUGUUUGGGAAUGCAGCUCUAAGUGGGUGGUAAAUUCCAUCUAAAGCUAAAUAUUGGCGAGAGACCGAUAGCGAACAAGUACAGUGAUGGAAAGAUGAAAAGAACUUUGAAAAGAGAGUGAAAAAGUACGUGAAAUUGUUGAAAGGGAAGGGUUUGAGAUCAGACUCGAUAUUUUGUGAGCCUUGCCUUCGUGGCGGGGUGACCCGCAGCUUAUCGGGCCAGCAUCGGUUUGGGCGGUAGGAUAAUGGCGUAGGAAUGUGACUUUACUUCGGUGAAGUGUUAUAGCCUGCGUUGAUGCUGCCUGCCU
RNAcentral lists this ribosomal RNA (464 nucleotides) under Meyerozyma caribbica. RNAcentral describes it as "partial large subunit ribosomal RNA". It matches the Rfam family "Eukaryotic large subunit ribosomal RNA", at positions 115 to 635 of the family's 3401-position model. The record is from RNAcentral. Lineage: Eukaryota; Fungi; Ascomycota; Pichiomycetes; Serinales; Debaryomycetaceae.